UACGUAGGGUGCAAGCGUUGUCCGGAAUUAUUGGGCGUAAAGAGCUCGUAGGCGGUCUGUCGCGUCGGCUGUGAAAACCCGAGGCUCAACCUCGGGCCUGCAGUCGAUACGGGCAAACUAGAGUACUGCAGGGGAGACUGGAAUUCCUGGUGUAGCGGUGAAAUGCGCAGAUAUCAGGAGGAACACCGGUGGCGAAGGCGGGUCUCUGGGCAGUAGCUGACGCUGAGGAGCGAAAGCGUGGGGAGCGAACAGG
Molecule: ribosomal RNA, 253 nt
Filed under: uncultured bacterium
Lineage: Bacteria
Description: partial 16S ribosomal RNA
Rfam family: Bacterial small subunit ribosomal RNA
Source: RNAcentral